RNAcentral lists this unclassified non-coding RNA (232 nucleotides) under Hevea brasiliensis (rubber tree). Lineage: Eukaryota; Viridiplantae; Streptophyta; Magnoliopsida; Malpighiales; Euphorbiaceae. The record is from RNAcentral.
GAGAGAGAGAGAGGGAGAGAGUAGGGGGAGGGAGAAAUACAAUAGCCAUUACUUAAAAUCAUAUCAUGCAUCUAGAAAGAGAGAGAGUUUAUGGUGAUUUGAAGGUGAGGGAAAAAAAAACAGGUUUUGUGAGAGAGAGAGAGGUACAAUAGCCAUUACUUAAAUCAUAUCAUGCAUCUUGAGAGAGAGAGAGAGUUUAUGGAGACUUGAAGAAAAAGGAAAAAAAAAAAAA